This 171-nucleotide ribosomal RNA is filed under the name Rhacophorus malabaricus. RNAcentral describes it as "partial 16S ribosomal RNA". Lineage: Eukaryota; Metazoa; Chordata; Amphibia; Anura; Rhacophoridae. The record is from RNAcentral.
GACCAAAAAUCCAGCCUGAAACUUUUUAUACACAACCAACACCAAACUUUUAAAAUAAAACAUUUUGACUUUGUAGUAGAGGCGAUCGAAAAAUACAUAAGCGCUUAAGAAAUAGUACCGAGAGGGAAAAAUGAAAUAGAAAUGAAAUAAAUUUAAGCCAAAUAAAGCAGA